This 253-nucleotide ribosomal RNA is filed under the name uncultured bacterium. Its description in RNAcentral is "partial 16S ribosomal RNA". It matches the Rfam family "Bacterial small subunit ribosomal RNA", at positions 524 to 776 of the family's 1533-position model. The record is from RNAcentral.
UACGUAGGGGGCAAGCGUUGUCCGGAAUCAUUGGGCGUAAAGCGCGUGUAGGCGGUUCGGUAAGUCCGCUGUGAAAGUCGGGGGCUCAACCCUCGAAUGCCGGUGGAUACUGUCGGGCUAGAGUGCGGAAGAGGCGAGUGGAAUUCCUGGUGUAGCGGUGAAAUGCGCAGAUAUCAGGAGGAACACCAAUUGCGAAGGCAGCUCGCUGGGACGUUACUGACGCUGAGACGCGAAAGCGUGGGGAGCAAACAGG